UCGUGAAGAGCAACUUCUACUUAUUGUUUUCUUACGUUGCUAUUGAUUUACGCUUGCUAGUUACUAUACAGUAGACACGGGAAGUUACUGGCAUGCAUAUCUCUCAAUACCCAAGGGCGGGGCAACUCCGAUCACUCCUCUGCACGUCAUUUCUGCUGCUGCAAGCUGCAUUUGGAGCAUGUCCAAGGGUCCUCGUCUUCUGGAAGCUCUGAAAUCCCAGCACAAUCGUAGUGAUACCACCGCCAACAGUGUUCACAACCCACCCAAUCUUCUUGCCUCUCAUUGCUGUCGUUGUCGAACAAUCCUCCGCAUCCCUGGCACUUGUUUUCAUCUCUUUCUUCUGUUACUGCAGUUUUUCGUUUGCCUUGGCGUGCAGAGUAGGCCUCAUGACUUGUUAUGACUUCUCCAUAGUAUGCCAAGUCUACACGAGCAGAUGGCUUUGGCCGUGGUGGUGGAAUAGGCGUUCUUGUUUUCUGGAACAACUUGGAGAAGUGGUGUCUAAAAUGAAGUUUGAUUGCAGGAGUGGUAGCUGCUGUCGGAGAAUGAGGGCUCUUGCAUGGUGUUCAUGUAGUAACAGCAUCUGCUGGACUAAUUUUUGCUUGAGGAAUGGCUGCAGCUGAUGGCUUUGGAUAUAAACCAGCUCCUUGAAAUGCACCUUGAAAUUGGUGUGGUUUCAUGGAUGUGUCUGUCAGCUGUUUUAGUAAUUUGGGAAAAUUGUUUUAUGGACACCUUGUCCCCCUGUUCUUCGUUUGUAGUCGGUCAGAAUCUUCUGCCAAUUUUUCUUCAUGGGAGCAAACACGCCUACAUCCAGAGGUUGUAGUGUGAGUGGUAUUUGGAGGCAGGGUUACGAGAAUGAUGUUGUAUUUUCUUGCCACAUUGAUGACAUCCAAGUUGAUGAGUGAAUGGUGGCCAUCGAAACACAAGAUCACGCUGGGGCUAGUAUCAUCUGUGAAGUCUGACUCAUCACUACUGUCACUGACAAGACAUGGUUCUGUUGUCGUCAGUGUAGUAGAUGGCUCUUCAUUUUCUGCAAUAAGUUUCAUCUUCUUGAGCACUGG
This is a long non-coding RNA of Corticium candelabrum, 1058 nucleotides long. RefSeq lists it as uncharacterized. The record is from RefSeq and is a predicted model, not a curated record. Lineage: Eukaryota; Metazoa; Porifera; Homoscleromorpha; Homosclerophorida; Plakinidae. The transcript has 3 exons.